UACAGAGGGGGCAAGCGUUGUUCGGAAUUACUGGGCGUAAAGGGCGCGUAGGCGGCCGCCUAAGUCAGACGUGAAAUCCCUCGGCUCAACCGGGGAACUGCGUCUGAUACUGGGUGGCUUGAAUUCGGGAGAGGGAUGCGGAAUUCCAGGUGUAGCGGUGAAAUGCGUAGAUAUCUGGAGGAACACCGGUGGCGAAGGCGGCAUCCUGGACCGAGAUUGACGCUGAAGCGCGAAAGCCAGGGGAGCAAACGGG
Molecule: ribosomal RNA, 253 nt
Filed under: uncultured bacterium
Lineage: Bacteria
Description: partial 16S ribosomal RNA
Rfam family: Bacterial small subunit ribosomal RNA
Source: RNAcentral